GACUUCAAAUCCGUCGAGGGCGAUCGUGCAAUGGGACUCAACUCCCUCCC
RNAcentral lists this transfer RNA (50 nucleotides) under Detonula confervacea. Its description in RNAcentral is "partial Selenocysteine transfer RNA". Lineage: Eukaryota; Bacillariophyta; Thalassiosirophyceae; Thalassiosirales; Thalassiosiraceae. The record is from RNAcentral.